RNAcentral lists this ribosomal RNA (563 nucleotides) under Hydrozoanthus gracilis. Its description in RNAcentral is "partial 16S ribosomal RNA". It matches the Rfam family "Bacterial large subunit ribosomal RNA", at positions 1848 to 2436 of the family's 2925-position model. The record is from RNAcentral. Lineage: Eukaryota; Metazoa; Cnidaria; Anthozoa; Zoantharia; Hydrozoanthidae.
GAGGGUGAGGCCUGCCCAAUGGUUGUAUCUAAAAGCGGUUGAUAAAAGUCGACCUCGUAAGGACAAUUGAAUGGCCGCGGUAACACUGACCGUGAUAAUGUAGCGUAAUCAAUAGCCAAUUAAUUGUUGGCCAGUAUGAAUGGCGCCACGAAGGCCCCACUGUCUUAAGGAAAUUCCCAGUGAAAUUGAAUUCGUAGUGAAGAUGCUACGUCCAAUUUGUUAGACGAAAAGACCCCGUUGAGCUUUACUGGGGCACUUACACGGCCCCGGCCUUCCAAACUAGGCUUACUAUGCCUAGAGGUCGGCCGAAUUUAAAUGGGUGGUUUAGAUUAUGUGGCAGCCCCCCGUCGGGGCAGAUGAAACCCCACUCCCCCAUGUCAAAGGGGCUAACCCCCCCCCUUGGGGGGGGACAGUGUAAGUAGGACAGUUUGGUUGGGGCGACCGCCUUUUAAAGAGUAACGAAGGUGCGCUUAAGGUGCGCAAAUAAUGACUGAAGCCUGACUGCGAGGGGGACACCCCGAGCAGACACCCCCAAGCCUGCCCUAAGGGCGGCGGUGGGGUGG